AGUUUUAAACCAUACUCUUCAUUGAGCUGCAUAACCGUUUGAACUGAACCCUUGCCGAAACUAUCCGUGCCCAUGAUGAUUGCCCUUCCUUGGUCUUGGAGGGCGCCUGAAACAAUUUCCGAAGCAGACGCAGAGCCGCCAUUGAUUAGCACUAUAACGGGCUUGCCGUUAAGUUCAUCUCCAGGUGUUGCGCUAAAUCGUAGUUGAGAGCUUUUGAUACGCCCUUCAGUAUAAACAAUUAACCCAUCAUCUAGCAGGCUAUCAGAAACCGCUACCGCCGCCUGUAAUACGCCACCCGGAUUGUUUCG
RNAcentral lists this non-coding RNA (308 nucleotides) under uncultured Alkalimarinus sp. The record is from RNAcentral. Lineage: Bacteria; Pseudomonadati; Pseudomonadota; Gammaproteobacteria; Alteromonadales; Alteromonadaceae.